CCUACGGGUGGCAGCAGUGAGGAAUAUUGGUCAAUGGCCGGAAGCCUGAACCAGCCAAGCCGCGUGAAGGACGAAGGUGCCAAGCAUUGUAAACUUCUUUUGUCAAGGGACAAAAUCAGGCUCGAGAGCCUGACCGAGGGUACUUGAAGAACAAGCAUCGGCUAACUCCGUGCCAGGAGCCGCGGUAAUACGGAGGAUGCGAGCGUUAUCCGGAUUUAUUGGGUUUAAAGGGUGCGUAGGCGGGCUGUUAAGUCAGCGGUAAAAGCCCGGGGCUCAACCCCGGCGAGCCGUUGAAACUGGCUGUCUUGAGAGGGCGAGAGGUAUGCGGAAUGCGCAGUGUAGCGGUGAAAUGCUUAGAUAUUGCGCAGAACUCCGAUUGCGAAGGCAGCAUACCGGCGGCGAUCUGACGCUGAGGCACGAAAGCGUGGGUAUCGAACAGGAUUAGAUACCCUUGUAGUC
This 459-nucleotide ribosomal RNA is filed under the name uncultured bacterium. RNAcentral describes it as "partial 16S ribosomal RNA". It matches the Rfam family "Bacterial small subunit ribosomal RNA", at positions 338 to 795 of the family's 1533-position model. The record is from RNAcentral.